CUGAGCUAGUCUAGAGGUUUACCUGUUUGUUAGGGAAGGCCCUGAUGGCUCGUGUCUGGUACUGAGCUAGUCUAGAGGUUUACCUGAGCCCUGAUGGCUCGUGUCUGGUAUUGAGCUAGUCUAGAGGUUUACCUGAGCCCUGAUGGCUCGUGUCUGGUACUGAGCUAGUCUAGAGGUUUACCUGUUUGUUAGGGAAGGCCCUGAUGGCUCGUGUCUGGUACUGAGCUAGUCUAGAGGUUUACCUGAGCCCUGAUGGCUCGUGUCUGGUACUGAGCUAGUCUAGAGGUUUACCUGUUUGUUAGGGAAGGCCCUGAUGGCUCGUGUCUGGUACUGAGCUAGUCUAGAGGUUUACCUGUUUGUUAGGGAAGGCCCUGAUGGCUCGUGUCUGGUAUUUCAGACUGGACUCUCUCCUCUGCUGGACGUAGCCCAUAUUCCUCAGGUCCCAG
Molecule: long non-coding RNA, 446 nt
Organism: Oncorhynchus keta (chum salmon)
Lineage: Eukaryota; Metazoa; Chordata; Actinopteri; Salmoniformes; Salmonidae
Exons: 4
Source: RefSeq, a predicted model, not a curated record